This 1491-nucleotide ribosomal RNA is filed under the name metagenome. RNAcentral's name for it is "bacterial LSU rRNA". It matches the Rfam family "Bacterial large subunit ribosomal RNA", at positions 1420 to 2925 of the family's 2925-position model. The record is from RNAcentral.
UGAAAGCAGGCGAAAGAUUCCUGCACCCGUAUAUGGAGCGAAGGAGUGACGGAGACGGAUAGUGUGACCCUCUUAAUGGAUUGAGGGCGAAGCGAAGCGGCUGGUUACCAGGCAAAUCCGGUAACCUUAAGGCUAGAGCGUGACAGGUAAGCGAAAUCUAAGGAAAGUAGCGAAGCACAUGAUGACGGCUUCCAGGAAAAGCUUCUGGCAAUGCAUAUGCGGCCCGUACCAAAACCGACACAGGUGGGCAGGGAGAGAAUCCCGAGGUGAGCGAGAGAACUGUUGCAAGGAACUCGGCAAAAUGACUCCGUAAGUUAGCGAGAAGGAGUGCUUAAGCAAUUAAGCCGCAGUGAAGAGGCCCAAGCGACUGUUUAACUAAAACACAGCUCUCUGCGAAGUCGCAAGACGAAGUAUAGGGGGUGACACCUGCCCGGUGCUGGAAGGUUAAGAGGAUCUGUUAAGAGCGACCUGAAGCAGUGAUCCGAAGCCCCAGUGAACGGCGGCCGUAACAAUAACGGUCCUAAGGUAGCGAAAUUCCUUGUCAGGUAAGGUCUGACCCGCACGAAAGGUGUAACGAUUUGGGCGCUGUCUCGGCAGCAGACUCGGUGAAAUCUUAGUACCUGUGAAAAUGCAGGUUACCCGCAACUAGACGGAAAGACCCCAUGGAGCUUUACUGCAGCCUGAUAUUGAAUUCUGGUCAUACAUGUACAGGAUAGGUGGGACACAAAGAGACGUGCACGCCAGUGUACGAGGAGUCGACGUUGGGAUACCACUCUUGUGUGACCGGGGUUCUAACCUGGUAUCGAGAACAGGUACGGGGAGAGUGUCAGGUGGGCAGUUUGACUGGGGCGGUCGCCUCCCAAAGAGUAACGGAGGCGCCCAAAGGUACGCUCAGAUUGGAUGGAAACCAAUCGACGAGUGCAAUUGCAGAAGCGUGCUUGACUGUGAGACAAACAAGUCGAACAGGGACGAAAGUCGGGAAUAGUGAUCCGGCGGUGCCGAAUGGAAGGGCCGUCGCUCAACGGAUAAAAGCUACCCUGGGGAUAACAGGCUGAUCUCGCCCAAGAGUUCACAUCGACGGCGAGGUUUGGCACCUCGAUGUCGGCUCAUCGCAUCCUGGAGCUGGAUUCGGUUCCAAGGGUUGGGCUGUCCGCCAUUAAAGCGGUACGCGAGCUGGGUUCAGAACGUCGUGAGACAGUUCGGUCCCUAUCUGUUGUGGGCGAAGGAGAUCUGCGGAGAGCUGUCCUCAGUACGAGAGGACCGGGAUGGACCUACCGCUGGUGCACCGGUUGUUCCGCCAGGGGCAUAGCCGGGUAGCUAAGUAGGGAAAGGAUAAGCGCUGAAAGCAUCUAAGCACGAAGCCUACUCCAAGAUGAGAUCUCCCAUUCGCAAGAAGUAAGACCCCUUAAAGACGAUAAGGUAGAUAGGCCAGGGAUGGAAGUGCAGUGAUGUACGGAGUUGACUGGUACUAAUCGGUCGAGGACUUAAUCG